Oppia nitens is the source of this 251-nucleotide long non-coding RNA. RefSeq lists it as uncharacterized. NCBI's taxonomy places the organism in Eukaryota, Metazoa, Arthropoda, Arachnida, Sarcoptiformes, Oppiidae. The record is from RefSeq and is a predicted model, not a curated record. The transcript is spliced from 4 exons.
CAAGUUUUUAGCCAAAAUGUCAAAAUCUCAAAUAUAUUAUUGUUUUAUUUUAGGCAUUAUUUUGUUUUCCCUAAUAGAAUUAUCUGUAAAUGUUGACGAAAAGAAAGAAAAUAAUCGGAAAAGAACUUAUGCUGAAAUAAUUCGAAAAAAUAAUCAAGGUCAAUUAAAAAUGUUUUGUGAAAAAAUAAAGUCUGACUGUUACGAUAAAACAUUGUAUUCAUGAUAAACAAUGUUUGAAUAAAACUAAAGAG